UGCGGAGGGAUCAUUACAUAAUAAAAUAUGAAGGCUGUACGCGGCUGUGCUCUCGGGCCAGUUUUGCGGAGGCUGAAUUAUUUAUUACCCUUGUCUUUUGCGCACUUGUUGUUUCCUGGGCGGGUUCGCCCGCCACCAGGACCACAUCAUAAACCUUUUUUAUGCAGUUGCAAUCAGCGUCAGUAUAACAAAUGUAAAUCAUUACAACUUUCAACAACGGAUCUCUUGGUUCUGGCAUCGAUGAAGAACGCAGCGAAAUGCGAUACGUAGUGUGAAUUGCAGAAUUCAGUGAAUCAUCGAAUCUUUGAACGCACAUUGCGCCCUUUGGUAUUCCAAAGGGCAUGCCUGUUCGAGCGUCAUUUGUACCCUCAAGCUUUGCUUGGUGUUGGGCGUUUUUUGUCUUUGGUUGCCAAAGACUCGCCUUAAAAGGAUUGGCAGCCGGCCUACUGGUUUCGCAGCGCAGCACAUUUUUGCGCUUGCAAUCAGCAAAAGAGGACGGCAAUCCAUCAAGACUCCUUCUCACGUUUGACCUCGGAUCAGGUAGGGAUACCCGCUGAACUUAAGCAUAUC
This 570-nucleotide ribosomal RNA is filed under the name Curvularia lunata. RNAcentral's name for it is "eukaryotic LSU rRNA". The stretch from base 206 to 359 matches the Rfam family "5.8S ribosomal RNA". The record is from RNAcentral. Lineage: Eukaryota; Fungi; Ascomycota; Dothideomycetes; Pleosporales; Pleosporaceae.